UGGGGAAUUUUGGACAAUGGGCGAAAGCCUGAUCCAGCAAUGCCGCGUGUGUGAAGAAGGCCUUCGGGUUGUAAAGCACUUUUGUCCGGAAAGAAAUGGCUCUGGUUAAUACCUGGGGUCGAUGACGGUACCGGAAGAAUAAGGACCGGCUAACUACGUGCCAGCAGCCGCGGUAAUACGUAGGGUCCAAGCGUUAAUCGGAAUUACUGGGCGUAAAGCGUGCGCAGGCGGUUGUGCAAGACCGAUGUGAAAUCCCCGAGCUUAACUUGGGAAUUGCAUUGGUGACUGCACGGCUAGAGUGUGUCAGAGGGGGGUAGAAUUCCACGUGUAGCAGUGAAAUGCGUAGAGAUGUGGAGGAAUACCGAUGGCGAAGGCAGCCCCCUGGGAUAACACUGACGCUCAUGCACGAAAGCGUGGGGAGCAAACAGGAUUAGAUACCCUGGUAGUCCACGCCCUAAACGAUGUCAACUAGUUGUUGGGGAUUCAUUUCCUUAGUAACGUAGCUAACGCGUGAAGUUGACCGCCUGGGGAGUACGGUCGCAAGAUUAAAAGCUCAAAAUGAAUUGACGGGGUCAUAGCUG
Molecule: ribosomal RNA, 581 nt
Filed under: uncultured bacterium
Lineage: Bacteria
Description: partial 16S ribosomal RNA
Rfam family: Bacterial small subunit ribosomal RNA
Source: RNAcentral